Molecule: ribosomal RNA, 301 nt
Filed under: uncultured bacterium
Lineage: Bacteria
Description: partial 16S ribosomal RNA
Rfam family: Bacterial small subunit ribosomal RNA
Source: RNAcentral
CAGUCGCCACGGUAAUACAGAGGGUGCAAGCGUUAAUCGGAAUUAUUGGGCGUAAAGGGUGCGUAGGUGGUCAUUUAAGUCAGAUGUGAAAUCCCAGGGCUUAACCUUGGAAUUGCAUUUGAUACUGGGUGGCUAGAGUACAGAAGAGGGAAGUGGAAUUUCCGGUGUAGCGGUGAAAUGCGUAGAUAUCGGAAGGAACAUCAGUGGCGAAGGCGACUUCCUGGUCUGUAACUGACACUGAGGCACGAAAGCGUGGGGAGCAAACAGGAUUAGAUACCCCAGUAGUCCCUGUCUCUUAUAC